Molecule: long non-coding RNA, 415 nt
Organism: Schistocerca gregaria
Lineage: Eukaryota; Metazoa; Arthropoda; Insecta; Orthoptera; Acrididae
Exons: 3
Source: RefSeq, a predicted model, not a curated record
CCAGUGCAGCUUCUUUAAUAAGAAACUAACAUAUUUUCCAUUUAAGACUUUUAGCGGUGUGCCUUACAAAUUUUUGAAUGUGUAUUAAACGAUUAAUUAAUUUUUUGGGCAAUGAUAAGCUUACCUAGAAACAAUACCGUGUAUGAGUGCAUUUAAUUCAAUUCAAAUAUACGCAGCGUAGUAGCCCACUGCGCCACAACAUGUCGGAAGACGUGGUGUCUCGCGUGGGCAUUGAUUUGCAGACCGCCUACGAAGAAAAACUGCUGCCACUGGAGAGGCGACACGACUUCCAUGAAUUCCACCCAGCGCCUCCUCGUGACUUCACCUCAAAGCCGCUGGUGGCCAUGGUGGGCGCCGCCGGGUCGGGCAAGUCUACGCUGGUGAGCUGGCUGCUGGGCUGCAACCCAUACCCCGC